RNAcentral lists this ribosomal RNA (243 nucleotides) under uncultured bacterium. Its description in RNAcentral is "partial 16S ribosomal RNA". It matches the Rfam family "Bacterial small subunit ribosomal RNA", at positions 534 to 776 of the family's 1533-position model. The record is from RNAcentral.
GCGAGCGUUGUUCGGCAUUAUUGGGCGUAAAGGGUGCGUAGGCGGUUUGGUAAGUCUUGUGUGAAAUCUCCAGGCUCAACUUGGAGUCUGCACGAGAAACUGCCGGGCUUGAGUGUGGGAGAGGUGAGUGGAAUUCCUGGUGUAGCGGUGAAAUGCGUAGAUAUCAGGAGGAACACCUGUGGCGAAAGCGGCUCACUGGACCACAACUGACGCUGAUGCACGAAAGCGAGGGGAGCAAACAGG